RNAcentral lists this ribosomal RNA (742 nucleotides) under Rothia mucilaginosa. RNAcentral's name for it is "bacterial SSU rRNA". It matches the Rfam family "Bacterial small subunit ribosomal RNA", at positions 28 to 776 of the family's 1533-position model. Lineage: Bacteria; Bacillati; Actinomycetota; Actinomycetes; Micrococcales; Micrococcaceae. The record is from RNAcentral.
GACGAACGCUGGCGGCGUGCUUAACACAUGCAAGUCGAACGAUGAAGCCUAGCUUGCUAGGUGGAUUAGUGGCGAACGGGUGAGUAAUACGUGAGUGACCUACCUUUAACUCUGGGAUAAGCCUGGGAAACUGGGUCUAAUACCGGAUACGACCAAUCUCCGCAUGGAGUGUUGGUGGAAAGCGUUAUGUAGUGGUUAUAGAUGGGCUCACGGCCUAUCAGCUUGUUGGUGAGGUAACGGCUCACCAAGGCGACGACGGGUAGCCGGCCUGAGAGGGUGACCGGCCACACUGGGACUGAGACACGGCCCAGACUCCUACGGGAGGCAGCAGUGGGGAAUAUUGCACAAUGGGCGCAAGCCUGAUGCAGCGACGCCGCGUGAGGGAUGACGGCCUUCGGGUUGUAAACCUCUGUUAGCAGGGAAGAAGAGAAAUUGACGGUACCUGCAGAGAAAGCGCCGGCUAACUACGUGCCAGCAGCCGCGGUAAUACGUAGGGCGCGAGCGUUGUCCGGAAUUAUUGGGCGUAAAGAGCUUGUAGGCGGUUUGUCGCGUCUGCUGUGAAAGGCCGGGGCUUAACCCCGUGUAUUGCAGUGGGUACGGGCAGACUAGAGUGCAGUAGGGGAGACUGGAACUCCUGGUGUAGCGGUGGAAUGCGCAGAUAUCAGGAAGAACACCGAUGGCGAAGGCAGGUCUCUGGGCUGUAACUGACGCUGAGAAGCGAAAGCAUGGGGGAGCGAACAGG